GAUUUUUAUAAGAAAUCACAAGUUAAAAGGGAAACAGGUGUAAGUCCUGUACGAUCUCGUCACUGUAAACAGGGAAUGUAAAGUCAUGCGUGGAUGCGCAGCCACUGGAGAACCGGGAAGGCGACUUUUUAUGUGUUGAUCUGUAAGUCAGGAAACCUGCCUGCUGU
Molecule: non-coding RNA, 167 nt
Filed under: uncultured Blautia sp.
Lineage: Bacteria; Bacillati; Bacillota; Clostridia; Lachnospirales; Lachnospiraceae
Source: RNAcentral